UACGUAGGGGGCAAGCGUUGUCCGGAAUUAUUGGGCGUAAAGAGCUCGUAGGCGGUUUGUCGCGUCUGCUGUGAAAACUCGGGGCUUAACCCCGGGCCUGCAGUGGGUACGGGCAGACUAGAGUGCGGUAGGGGAGACUGGAAUUCCUGGUGUAGCGGUGAAAUGCGCAGAUAUCAGGAGGAACACCGGUGGCGAAGGCGGGUCUCUGGGCCGUAACUGACGCUGAGGAGCGAAAGCGUGGGGAGCGAACAGG
This 253-nucleotide ribosomal RNA is filed under the name uncultured bacterium. Its description in RNAcentral is "partial 16S ribosomal RNA". It matches the Rfam family "Bacterial small subunit ribosomal RNA", at positions 524 to 776 of the family's 1533-position model. The record is from RNAcentral.